UACCUGAUCCUCCUGAAGGAACCUCUCCACACUUUUGUAGGCUUUCGUGAACUUGUGCUUAACAAUGAGUUCACACCACCGAUGGCGAACCUGCUGAAAUUAUAAUGCACAGUUAGAGGCUAUAAAAUGCUUUGAAGAAUGCCACCAGUCCUAUUUAUAACAGGAAGCACUCCCCUUUAUUUUUAGUCCUUUUGAUUUUCAAAUUUACUAUCUGUCCAGGGAACAUGAUCUGGGAAGCCCAUUAAACCUCAUU
This 253-nucleotide long non-coding RNA is filed under the name Homo sapiens (human). RNAcentral's name for it is "HSALNT0152482". The record is from RNAcentral. Lineage: Eukaryota; Metazoa; Chordata; Mammalia; Primates; Hominidae.